UAUUAAAGGCAAUGCCUGCCCAGUGAGAACUUCUUCAACGGCCGCGGUACCCUAACCGUGCAAAGGUAGCGUAAUCAUUUGUCUAUUAAUUGUAGACCAGUAUGAAAGGCCACAUGAGAGUCAAACUGUCUCUUGUAAUCAAUCAAUUAAACUGAUCUCCCAGUACAAAAGCUGGAAUAUACAUAUAAGACCAGAAGACCCUGUGAAGCUUAAACUAACCUAUUAAACCUUAUAAUAGGUACUUUCAGUUGGGGCGACUUUGGAACAAAACAGAACUUCCAAACAACAUGAGCCAUCCCUCAUACCAAGGCCAACAAGCCAUUACAAGACCCAGUAACACUGAUAAUUGAACCAAGUUACUCCAGGGAUAACAGCGCCAUCUUCUUCAAGAGCCCAUAUCAAAAAGAAGGUUUACGACCUCGAUGUUGGAUCAGGACACCCAAAUGGUGCAGCCGCUAUUAAAGGUUCGUUUGUUCAACGAUUAACAGUCCU
This 492-nucleotide ribosomal RNA is filed under the name Aspidites ramsayi (woma python). RNAcentral describes it as "partial 16S ribosomal RNA". It matches the Rfam family "Bacterial large subunit ribosomal RNA", at positions 1844 to 2597 of the family's 2925-position model. Lineage: Eukaryota; Metazoa; Chordata; Lepidosauria; Squamata; Pythonidae. The record is from RNAcentral.